UGGGGAAUAUUGCACAAUGGGCGAAAGCCUGAUGCAGCAACGCCGCGUGAGUGAUGAAGGUCUUCGGAUUGUAAAGCUCUGUCUUUUGGGACGAUAAUGACGGUACCAAAGGAGGAAGCCACGGCUAACUACGUGCCAGCAGCCGCGGUAAUACGUAGGUGGCGAGCGUUGUCCGGAUUUACUGGGCGUAAAGGGUGCGUAGGCGGAUGUUUAAGUGAGAUGUGAAAUACCCGGGCUUAACUUGGGUGCUGCAUUUCAAACUGGAUAUCUAGAGUGCAGGAGAGGAGAAUGGAAUUCCUAGUGUAGCGGUGAAAUGCGUAGAGAUUAGGAAGAACACCAGUGGCGAAGGCGAUUCUCUGGACUGUAACUGACGCUGAGGCGCGAAAGCGUGGGUAGCAAACAGGAUUAGAUACCCUGGUAGUCCACGCCGUAAACGAUGAGUACUAGGUGUAGGAGGCAUCGACCCCUUCUGUGCCGCAGUAAACACAUUAAGUACUCCGCCUGGGAAGUACGAUCGCAAGAUUAAAACUCUAAAGUGAAUUGAC
RNAcentral lists this ribosomal RNA (545 nucleotides) under uncultured bacterium. Its description in RNAcentral is "partial 16S ribosomal RNA". It matches the Rfam family "Bacterial small subunit ribosomal RNA", at positions 355 to 914 of the family's 1533-position model. The record is from RNAcentral.